GGUUAGUAUACGCAAUUAGUCUAUACGUAUGUGUCAUAAAUAAUAUUGAUAACCAUCUCAGCGGACGACAUAUUUCACUCCAUGAGUAGGCAGCCGAUGUAGUUGGACCAUACUGGGCAAGUAUAGGAUAUAGGGUAGGUAAUUUAGUUUAAACGCUGAAAGUCGAAAGUAACAACGGAAUAUCGUUUCAAUCGAAAACCUAUCCGGAGUGGAGCUCG
Cinara cedri is the source of this 218-nucleotide non-coding RNA. NCBI's taxonomy places the organism in Eukaryota, Metazoa, Arthropoda, Insecta, Hemiptera, Aphididae. The record is from the annotation of a GenBank genome assembly.